UACAGAGGGUGCUAGCGUUGUUCGGAAUCAUUGGGCGUAAAGGGCGCGUAGGCGGCUUGACAAGUCACUUGUGAAAUCUCCGGGCUUAACUCGGAACGGCCAAGUGAAACUGUCAUGCUAGAGUGCAGAAGGGGCAAUCGGAAUUCUUGGUGUAGCGGUGAAAUGCGUAGAUACUCAAGAGGAACACCUGAGGUGAAGACGGGUUGCUGGGCUGACACUGACGCUGAGGCGCGAAAGCCAGGGGAGCAAACGGG
Molecule: ribosomal RNA, 254 nt
Filed under: uncultured bacterium
Lineage: Bacteria
Description: partial 16S ribosomal RNA
Rfam family: Bacterial small subunit ribosomal RNA
Source: RNAcentral